CAGCAGCCGCGGUAAUACAGAGGAUGCAAGCGUUAUCCGGAAUGAUUGGGCGUAAAGCGUCUGUAGGUGGCUUUUCAAGUCCGCCGUCAAAUCCCAGGGCUCAACCCUGGACAGGCGGUGGAAACUACCAAGCUGGAGUACGGUAGGGGCAGAGGGAAUUUCCGGUGGAGCGGUGAAAUGCGUAGAUAUUAGGAAGAACACCAGUGGCGAAGGCGACUUUCUGGACGAAAACUGACGCUGAGGCGCGAAAGCCAGGGGAGCGAACGGGAUUAGAUACCCCCGUAGUCCCUGUCUCUUAUAC
RNAcentral lists this ribosomal RNA (301 nucleotides) under uncultured bacterium. RNAcentral describes it as "partial 16S ribosomal RNA". It matches the Rfam family "Bacterial small subunit ribosomal RNA", at positions 509 to 807 of the family's 1533-position model. The record is from RNAcentral.